CAGUGGGGAAUUUUGGACAAUGGGCGCAAGCCUGAUCCAGCCAUGCCGCGUGAGUGAAGAAGGCCUUCGGGUUGUAAAGCUCUUUCGGCCGGGAAGAAAUCGCAUUGGUUAAUACCUGGUGUGGAUGACGGUACCGGAAUAAGAAGCACCGGCUAACUACGUGCCAGCAGCCGCGGUAAUACGUAGGGUGCGAGCGUUAAUCGGAAUUACUGGGCGUAAAGCGUGCGCAGGCGGUUUUGUAAGACAGGCGUGAAACCCCCGGGCUCAACCUGGGAACUGCGCUUGUGACUGCAAGGCUAGAGUACGGCGGAGGGGGGUGGAAUUCCACGUGUAGCAGUGAAAUGCGUAGAGAUGUGGAGGAACACCAAUGGCGAAGGCAGCCCCCUGGGUCGAUACUGACGCUCAUGCACGAAAGCGUGGGUAGCAAACAGGAUUAGAUACCCUGGUAGUCCACGCCCUAAACGAUGUCAACUAGGUGUUGGGAGGGUAAAACCUUUUAGUACCGGAGCUAACGCGUGAAGUUGACCGCCUGGGGAGUACGGCCGCAAGGUUAAAACUCAAAGGAAUUGACGGGGACCCGCACAAGCGGUGGAUGAUGUGGAUUAAUUCGAUGCAACGCGAAAAACCUUACCUACCCUUGACAUGUCAGGAAGUCUUGAGAGAUUGAGAUGUGCCCGAAAGGGAACCUGAACACAGGUGCUGCAUGGCUGUCGUCAGCUCGUGUCGUGAGAUGUUGGGUUAAGUCCCGCAACGAGCGCAACCCUUGUCGUUAAUUGCCAUCAUUUAGUUGGGCACUUUAGCGAGACUGCCGGUGACAAACCGGAGGAAGGUGGGGAUGACGUCAAGUCCUCAUGGCCCUUAUGGGUAGGGCUUCACACGUCAUACAAUGGUCGGUACAAAGGGUCGCCAACCCGCGAGGGGGAGCCAAUC
This 930-nucleotide ribosomal RNA is filed under the name uncultured Dechloromonas sp. RNAcentral describes it as "bacterial SSU rRNA". It matches the Rfam family "Bacterial small subunit ribosomal RNA", at positions 352 to 1273 of the family's 1533-position model. Lineage: Bacteria; Pseudomonadati; Pseudomonadota; Betaproteobacteria; Rhodocyclales; Azonexaceae. The record is from RNAcentral.